GCUGUGGUUCAGUGGUAGCACACUUGCCUGGCAAGUGUGAGGCAUUGGGUUUGAUUCUCAGCACUGCA
RNAcentral lists this transfer RNA (68 nucleotides) under Marmota monax (woodchuck). RNAcentral describes it as "tRNA.Ala". The record is from RNAcentral. Lineage: Eukaryota; Metazoa; Chordata; Mammalia; Rodentia; Sciuridae.